CAGCUGGCAGGUUGUCACCACACUUCUGAGGGCCCCAGGAGAGCCCCAGAGUUCCAGGGACCCAGUUGUGUGGCACUGCCCAGAUGCUACGAGAUGUCACACUUCAAGGAUUUUUAUGCACAGCAAAAUUCUACAUAUGGCAAAAGGCAAAGGAGGAACUCAUCUGCCAUCUCUGCUGAAGGCUGUCAACACCAGUAGAAGAGACCUUGUACAGCCCAUGUAGAAGAGACCUUGGUGCUCAAUACACAAGAUGAGUAAUGCUUACACUGAAAGCUGUUGAUAAGAAAGUAAAGGUAUUUAAGCAGUCAAGUGAGCAAACAAUCUGCAAGCUAUUGAAUAUCUUCUUGUCAGAAUAAAUGAUGGAGUAGUUCAAGGCUGAGAAACA
Molecule: long non-coding RNA, 385 nt
Filed under: Cyanistes caeruleus (blue tit)
Lineage: Eukaryota; Metazoa; Chordata; Aves; Passeriformes; Paridae
Description: lncRNA (ENSCCEG00000003153.1)
Source: RNAcentral